This 2729-nucleotide long non-coding RNA is filed under the name Heterocephalus glaber (naked mole-rat). RNAcentral describes it as "lncRNA (ENSHGLG00100046861.1)". Lineage: Eukaryota; Metazoa; Chordata; Mammalia; Rodentia; Bathyergidae. The record is from RNAcentral.
AAAUGUUGAAUAUAUGGGAAGGCUUUCUAACUUUAAAAUCUAUUUGUGUUUCACAAGACCAGAAAUUCAUUGAGAUUCAAGCUUUUGAUGUUUGGGUUGGUUUACCUUACAUUAUAUGUGGGUUUUUUUCCUAUUUAAAAUAUCAGAAAAAAAUAUAUAUUCAAACAUGACAUAGUUCUCAACGUACAUUUGGAUAGUUAUAAAUUAUCCUAUGUUAGGAUUCCAUAUCCUUUAAGAUGGAAUUUUUAUCUUCUUGUCAAAGGGAUGAAGAAUUACAUUGUGAGUUUUUCCUUUUGAGUAUAAACCAAAAAUAUAUUAAGCCAGACUUUAUUUUUCUUGUAUUUGUGUAAAAUUAUAAGCAUGUUAGGGAAAAUGGUACAAAAACAAGGUAUAUGUUACUCUUAAUACCAGAGCAAAGUUUCUCUACAGUUCUUUUGAUUUUUGUUUUGUUUUUGUUUUUUGGUACUGGGGAUCGAACUCGGGAUCUUUCUACAGUUCUUUUGAGAAAAUCGGUUUAGAGAUCUGAUUCCAUAACAAUUAGCAACUCUUCAAAAGUAUAUUGAUGCCUAUCAUCAUUCAUAAUGAAUGAUGAAAGAUUUUUAAUUUUAUAUUCUAAUUUUUAAAAAGAGCACUGUCAAAAGCGAUGAUUUGAGGAAAAAAAAUAGAAAAAUAAUUCUGUCCUAAUUACCAUAUAUGCAUUAUUUAUUGCUUUUAAAAGAUCUCUUAAAAUGAUUAAUAAGCACCUGCAGAAUAAUUUUAUUUUCUUCUUGAAAAAAUAGCCAUCUGAACAUGAGGCCCAGCCCAAAGCCAGCACUACAGCUGGAGACAUGACAUAGUUCUGAAACAGUCUUUAGUCACAACUGGGAGAAAAAGACCUUUCUAAAAUGUGCCAAUCUUGUGAGGAAUGGAUGUCAAUUUAGUGUCUCCUGGAAAGGGGGAGAAUGAGAUCAUAUUUCUGAAUUUUAGUGUUGCAUUCUGUAAGUUUGUACUCAUGCCUUUUCUCCCUUCUUUACAAUUGGGGUUUUCCACUUCAUUCUUUUGGGACAUAGUGAACUCUCAGUUUCUAUUGUGUUAUUCUACUUACAUGGCUGAUGGCUUCUUUUCUUUGUUCUUGUUUUUCAAUUUCUUCUAAGCACUUUCUCUCUUGAAUCUGUUUAAUCAAUUGUUUUUGUGAAACAAGUUUCUCCAGUGAAAAUCCUGCAGGAAGAACUGUACUUGAGGUUUUACUUUAUCCUAGAUAUAGUGAUGUGUUUUACAGCUAUGAUCUCACUUAAACAUUUGCAGCAACUACAAUGAAAUUUUAUAGAUAAGAAACAGAAACUCAGUGAGAUUAAAAAAACUUCUUAUGGUCAUGUAGCUAGUAAGUCACAGAGCUAUGUAUAAACACAAACAUGUUCAAAGACCAAACUCAAUCUGUUUACUAUGGUGUUUCCAAAGAGCUGGCCUAUGAUGAGUACUUAAUCCUAAACACAGAUGUCUUACUAUUGUUCUCAUGCUCUGAUUAUCAGUCUACUGCUAUAUCUUUCUUUUUUUGUCUCUUAUUAGUGUAUGUCUGUAAUACAUAAUAGUUACGUUCAUUGUGGAGAAUUGGUACAUACAUAUAACAUCUUGAUUGUUUUCAAUCCUUUUAUCUUCUUUUCCCAGAUGCCCCAUCUUCUUUCCUAUUUCCAAAAAAGACUGUCUUCUUGUUUCCUACCACCUUUCCUUUAUCUUAUUUAUUUAUAUUUUAGAUUUCUCAUACAAGAGAAACCAUGUGCUAUUUAACUUUCUGUGUCUUAUUUAAUUUCUUUUUUUUUAAUUCACUCAACAUUAUGGUCUCAACAUCCAUCCAUUUUCCUGCAAAUGACAUGAUUUCACUCUUCUUUAUGGUUAAUAUUCAUAUGUAUCUAUGAAAUACAUUCAUAUGUAUAUAUAUAUAAUUUUCUUUGUCCAUUCAUAUGUUGACAGGCAUCUGGCUGUUUCCAUGGCUUAGCUAUUAUGAAUCAUCAUGCUGUAAACAUGGUCAUUCUGGAGCAUAUUGUUUAAUUCACACAUAUCAAUGUCUUCAAAAAUCUUCAGUAAAAUAUAAAUGAAGUCAACAUCAUAUCAAAAAGAUCAUACAUCAUGAUCAGAUCCUUUGUGUUAUGAAAGCCCCACGUGUGCAUUUCUCUAAAUGAAAGUCUCCUGAACUUAAACCCAUGGACAUUUUAAAGAAAAUGCAGUAAGCCAAUGCUUCCUUGGCUAAAAACGUGUCUGUGCUCUGCAAACAAUGAACAGAACCCAGGAAGGGAGAUGCAGACCGCCUGCUGAGCCAGUCCUAGUUCUCUUCCCUGGAAAUCUUGUCCUUGCACAGAACUUCUGGAAACCAAUAAAAGAAAACUAAUGUGCUACCCAGAGCAGAGAAAAUGGAAAUCUGCUGAGUUAAUAUUGUGGGUCAUAAAAGUCACUCAAAGAGAAUUCUUUCAAUAAGGUGCCUACCAUAGUGGUUAUAUAAUUCUUCCAUGAAACUUACUUUUCUCUUUCUGAAAAGAAGUUUUGUUUUUUCUCUCAAAGAAUAAUGGUACUGCUUAACAUCCCCAGAACACAAUGUGAAUGAGCUUUUAAAAUUUUAUUCUAAUUACAAGAGAAAUAUAUUCUGAGUAUAGAAGAUGAGGAACAUAGAGAAAACCCUGAAGGAAUCAAACAACCCUAUUGUGAGAUAAAACUCAGGUAACAUUUUGGGAUAUUUAACAAUGUCUAUUGCCUUGACG